UUUUUUUUUUUUUUUAAAGGGCCACACCUGUGGUGGCAUAUGGAAGCUCCUGGGCUAGGGGUCAAAUUGGAGCUGCAGCUGCCAGCCUACACCACAGGCAUAGCAACUCAGGACCCGAGCUGCUCUGCAACCUACACCACAGCUCAUAGCAACACUGAAUCCCCAACCUACUGAGAGAGGCCAGGGAUUGAAUCCACAUCCUUGUGGAUACUAGUCAGGUUCAUUAACCCUGAACCAUGAUGGGAACUCCCAGUGUGGCUUUUGAUAUGGGAUCCCCUCCCUUGUCCCUGCUUCUUUUGCUCAAAAAUGACAUCCUUGAGUAAGCCCAUUUUUCUCCUUGAAGGAGAAACAAAAGGUAAGGGGGGAGGGUACCAUGUUAGACUUUGCAUCAAACCCAUUACUGCCAGCUACAGGGUGACUUUGACCUCAACUGCCCCAGGCCCAUCCUUGUACAGUUUGGGAAAUUGAGCUCUUGGGAAGGGCUUUGCCCAAGACCCCAGGGUAAGUUUGCUGUGGAGCCAGGACUGGUCCUCUCCUGUGUACUCCUUCACGUUGCCAAAGCCCUGCCCACCUUAACAGGGGAGGGGGUACUCCAUUGGGCCUGGUCAGCAGGGGACACAGCCACAGUGGUGCCCACCAUGCUAACCUUAAAUGUCCCUCUCCCAGCCACAAGGCCUGAGAUCCUUUCUUGGUCACAUGGAUGUUCACUUUACAGGAUUCUGUGUGCACAGAGAGAGUACCCUUUGUUCCUUCCCUCCCUGGAGCUAUAAUUAAAGCAAGCACUCCUCUUCCCCACCCCCACCCCAGAAGGGGGCCAUGUUGUGGGACCCACCAGGUUCCAGGUGUGUCUCUUUACUGCAAGGAAGCUUAGUAAGCCUUCUCAUAACAAUCCUUAUUUAGAGCCAAAUAUAAACAUUAAAGGCAGCAAGAUAAAAUCAUGGGAAAAAACCAACAAACAAAGCCCAUAAGUUUCUAGUUCAAAUUUGGGCUCUGCCACUCUAAUCCUGUUAUCCAUCAGUGCUGAACUUAAUCCCACUAUCAUCACCACACUUCAGUAGAAUGCUUCUUUCAAGCUGGCCGGAAUAUUUACCUUUGAUGUUACUGCUAGCAGGGGGCCUUGUCCUUAUUCUCCACUGAUGGAGUGCCAGGUGUGGCUUCCACCUUCAAGUCUCUCUGGCUCCACAAGAAUGACGGACAAAACAGUUGGAGAAGAGAGUGAGAUAGGAUCCCCCUUAGGCUCCAGCUGCACCCCUUCUGCAUUAAAGGAUCAAAGGGAGGGAUGAAUUAUUGUCUCAGCAGGUUGGGGUGGCCCUGCUCUCUGCCUUUCCCCAUUGGAACUGAUUUUCUUUCUUUCUUUCUUUUUUCUUUCUUUCUUUCUUUCCUUCCUUCCUUCCUUCCUUCUUUCUUUCUUUUGCUUUUUAAGGCUGCAGUCACAGCAUAUGGAGGUUCCCAGGCCAGUGGUGUUAUUGGAGCUACAGCUGCCAGCCUAUACCACAGCCGCAGAAAUACAGGAUCCAAGCCAUGUCUGCAGCCUACACCACAGCUCAUGGCAAUGCCGGAUCCUUAACCCACUGAGCAAGGCUAGGGAUUGAACCCACAACCUCAUGGUUCCUAGCUGGAUUCAUUUCCGCUGUGCCAUGAUGGGAACUCCUGGAGCUGAUUUCUUAACUGAUUUAUUUACCUCCCUGGCCCUUUCUUCAUCUUGCUGAUUAAUAGUUUUCUUGGGGGUUCUGGGAAAUUUACAUUCAGUUGUUACUAUAGCAACCAGCUCUCUUGCACAGGAUCCCAUAGAAAAUGCAUUUUGGGCCUUCUGAUGGAGCUGGGUUUACAAGGAUCUCAGCAUAUGCUGAGGCAGAAUGGGCACGAUGGUGUUCUACUGAUAGGAGUAAGAAUUAGGAGCGAGGAUGUGAAAUGGUCUUGCCACGCUGUAAAGUGGGAAGGAUGGUUUUAGCGCCUUUGCUCUCCCCUUCUCUUGUCUCUCUUUCACUGGACAGCCCUUGCCCUCAAUGUUCUCUCUCAGGUCCCCAGAAAGUUAGUUCCCCAUGGAACAGUGGUACAUGGGGGUCAUGGGGAGGCUCAUUUUCUUUUAGCAUAAGGGAGAAUUUGUAGCAGGCAGAACCAUCUGAAGAUCCAGUUGGCAGCCUUGUGAGGUGGUGAUCUCCCCAUCACUGGAGGCCCGUAGGGAGGAUUGCAUGGGGUAAGGGUGGUAUGCGUGGAAUCUUUGGGUCCCCUUGGCCCUGGGGUAAGAGAGUUGAAAUGAGCCUGCUCUUGAGACCAGAGCUCACCUUCUCCCAAUCUAAGCAGAAUGUCAGAUUUGAGAAUUUUAGGUAUCUGGGAGGUCUUUUUGUUCUAAACUCAAUGCCCAGCACCCUGCCUGGCCCAUGAAUGAAUGAAUGGAGUCUUUAGAGUUUUAUUAAGUGUUUGGGCAGAAUCUACUAGCACUUUAUGUGUUCUUUUAUUCUAAUAAGAAUCUACGUUUUUUUUUUUUUUUAAGGGCCACACCCGCAGCAUAUGAAAGUUCCCAGGCUAGGGGUCGAAUUGGAGUUGCAGUUGCUGGCCUACACCACAGCCACAGCCAUGCAGGAUCUGAACCAUGUCAGCAGCCUAUACCACAGCUCAUGGCAAUUCAGUGGGAUCCUUAACCCACUGAGUGAGGCCAGGGAUCGAACCCACAUUCUCAUGGAUACUAGUUUGGGUUCAUAACUGCUGAGCCACAAUGGGAACUCCAUAAAAAUCUACAUUUUAAAGCAUGGGCCAUAUAACAACUUAGAAUAGAAACCUAAAAAAGAGGUUGCUGGAGUUCCUGUCGUGGCGCAGUGGUUAACGAAUCCGACUAAGAACCAUGAGGUUGUGGGUUCGGUCCCUGCCCUUGCUCAGUGGGUUAAAGGAUCUGGCAUUGCUGUGAGCUGCGGUGUAGGUUGCAGACGUGGCUCGGAUCCUGCGUUGCUGUGGCUCUGGCGUAGGCUGGUGGCUACAGCUCCGAUUCGACCCCUAGCCUGGGAACCUCCAUAUGUCGCAGGAGCGGCCCAAGAAAUG
RNAcentral lists this long non-coding RNA (3036 nucleotides) under Sus scrofa (pig). Its description in RNAcentral is "lncRNA (ENSSSCG00000061506.1)". The record is from RNAcentral. Lineage: Eukaryota; Metazoa; Chordata; Mammalia; Artiodactyla; Suidae.